ACCUAUGUUUUAGGCCCGUGCACAUUUGAGAGUGAUCAGUGCCACUGGACUGACACCAGUGAUGGACAGACCAAGUGGCAGAGACAGAAAGCCAGCAACAACACUGAGCCACCCACUGAUCACACCACAGACACGGGCUACUACAUGAGGGUGAAUGUCAGUCAAGCGUCCACACAGAGUGAAGCCCAACUCCAGAGUCCCACACUCCCUUCUUCAUCUCCCUACUGCCAGAUACUGUUUCACUUCCACAUCAGUGCAGAGAGUGCUGGGUCACUCAGAGUGCUUAUGCAGCAAGCUGAGGGGAGUGAAGCAAUCCUGUGGUCACGCAGUCACAACACUGUCUCCCACUGGACCUCAGAGCAUCUGCCUGUAGGCCCACACCAGCAGCC
Long non-coding RNA from Acanthochromis polyacanthus (spiny chromis), 389 nucleotides. RefSeq lists it as uncharacterized. NCBI's taxonomy places the organism in Eukaryota, Metazoa, Chordata, Actinopteri, Pomacentridae. The record is from RefSeq and is a predicted model, not a curated record. The transcript is spliced from 3 exons.